CUCCUCCGGCUGAUUGGAGCCGGGGAAGGACCGUUGGGGUCAACUGC
RNAcentral lists this non-coding RNA (47 nucleotides) under unclassified sequences. Its description in RNAcentral is "gut-2 RNA". It matches the Rfam family "gut-2 RNA". From Rfam's summary of the family: gut metagenomes. Environment (Cow rumen (57)) The record is from Rfam by way of RNAcentral.